This 1475-nucleotide ribosomal RNA is filed under the name uncultured bacterium. RNAcentral's name for it is "bacterial SSU rRNA". It matches the Rfam family "Bacterial small subunit ribosomal RNA". The record is from RNAcentral.
GCUCAGAUUGAACGCUGGCGGCAGGCCUAACACAUGCAAGUCGAACGGUAACAGGAAACAGCUUGCUGUUUCGCUGACGAGUGGCGGACGGGUGAGUAAUGUCUGGGAAACUGCCUGAUGGAGGGGGAUAACUACUGGAAACGGUAGCUAAUACCGCAUAACGUCGCAAGACCAAAGAGGGGGACCUUCGGGCCUCUUGCCAUCGGAUGUGCCCAGAUGGGAUUAGCUUGUUGGUGGGGUAACGGCUCACCAAGGCGACGAUCCCUAGCUGGUCUGAGAGGAUGACCAGCCACACUGGAACUGAGACACGGUCCAGACUCCUACGGGAGGCAGCAGUGGGGAAUAUUGCACAAUGGGCGCAAGCCUGAUGCAGCCAUGCCGCGUGUAUGAAGAAGGCCUUCGGGUUGUAAAGUACUUUCAGCGGGGAGGAAGGGAGUAAAGUUAAUACCUUUGCUCAUUGACGUUACCCGCAGAAGAAGCACCGGCUAACUCCGUGCCAGCAGCCGCGGUAAUACGGAGGGUGCAAGCGUUAAUCGGAAUUACUGGGCGUAAAGCGCACGCAGGCGGUUUGUUAAGUCAGAUGUGAAAUCCCCGGGCUCAACCUGGGAACUGCAUCUGAUACUGGCAAGCUUGAGUCUCGUAGAGGGGGGUAGAAUUCCAGGUGUAGCGGUGAAAUGCGUAGAGAUCUGGAGGAAUACCGGUGGCGAAGGCGGCCCCCUGGACGAAGACUGACGCUCAGGUGCGAAAGCGUGGGGAGCAAACAGGAUUAGAUACCCUGGUAGUCCACGCCGUAAACGAUGUCGACUUGGAGGUUGUGCCCUUGAGGCGUGGCUUCCGGAGCUAACGCGUUAAGUCGACCGCCUGGGGAGUACGGCCGCAAGGUUAAAACUCAAAUGAAUUGACGGGGGCCCGCACAAGCGGUGGAGCAUGUGGUUUAAUUCGAUGCAACGCGAAGAACCUUACCUGGUCUUGACAUCCACAGAACUUUCCAGAGAUGGAUUGGUGCCUUCGGGAACUGUGAGACAGGUGCUGCAUGGCUGUCGUCAGCUCGUGUUGUGAAAUGUUGGGUUAAGUCCCGCAACGAGCGCAACCCUUAUCCUUUGUUGCCAGCGGUCCGGCCGGGAACUCAAAGGAGACUGCCAGUGAUAAACUGGAGGAAGGUGGGGAUGACGUCAAGUCAUCAUGGCCCUUACGACCAGGGCUACACACGUGCUACAAUGGCGCAUACAAAGAGAAGCGACCUCGCGAGAGCAAGCGGACCUCAUAAAGUGCGUCGUAGUCCGGAUUGGAGUCUGCAACUCGACUCCAUGGAGUCGGAAUCGCUAGUAAUCGUGGAUCAGAAUGCCACGGUGAAUACGUUCCCGGGCCUUGUACACACCGCCCGUCACACCAUGGGAGUGGGUUGCAAAAGAAGUAGGUAGCUUAACCUUCGGGAGGGCGCUUACCACUUUGUGAUUCAUGACUGGGGUGAAGUC